UCUAUAAUUUUAGAAUCACCUUUGUCAGUGAUUACACAUGCAAGUCUUUCUGGGUGAGUAUCUAAGAGCUUUGCACAUCUGGAUUGUACAAUUCUUGCACAUUGUUAUUUCUAAAAUUCUUCAACCUCUGUCAAGUUUGUUGUUGAUCAUUGCUAGACAGCCAUUUUCAAGUCUUGUAAAAGAUAUUCAAGCCAAUUUAAGUCCAACCUGCAACUUGCAAGGAACAUUUAAUGUUGUCUUUGUAAGCAACUAAAGUGUAAAUGUGGCCUUGUGUUUUGUUAUUGUCCUGCUGAAAGGUGACUUUGUCUCCCAGUGUCUGUUGGAAAGCAGACUGAACCAGGUUUUCCUCUAGAAUUUUGCCUGUGCUUAGCUCUAUUCCAUUUGUUUUUAUUCUAGAAAACUCCCUAGUCCUUGCCAAUGAUAAACAUACCCAUAACAUGAUGCAGCCACCACCAUGCUUGAAAAUAUGAAGAGUGGUACGCAGUGAUCAAAUCAAAUCAAAUUGUAUUAGUCACAUGCUUAACCAACAAUGAAGUUAAAAAGUGGCGGGCUAAGAGGCGCACUAAAACUAUGGUAAAGUGGAGUCCACGUCACGCGCCAGAGCCGCCACCGCGGACAGACGCCCACCCAGACCCUCCCCUAUAGGUUCAGGUUUUGCGGACGGAGUCCGCACCUUUGGGGAGGGCGGGUACUGUCACGUUCUGACCAUAGUUCUGUUAUUUUAUUCUUUGUUUUAGUAUGGUCAGGGCGUGAGUUGGGGUGGGCAGUCUGUCUUUCUAUGUUGGUUUUUGUGUUCAGCCUAGUAUGGUUCUCAAUCAGAAGCAGGUGUCGUUAGUUGUGUCUGAUUGAGAAUCAUACUUAGGUAGCCUGGGAUUCACUGUUGGUUUGUGGGUGUUUCCGUGUGAGUGUUUGUCGCCACACGGUACUGUUUCGGUUUUUGUUUUCAUCACAUCGUUUAUUGUUUUGUAUUUCAGUGUUCAGUUCGUUUUUAAUAAAUCGUCAUGAACACUUACCACGCUGCAUCUUGGUCCGAUCCUUACUCUUCUUCAGACGAAGAGGAAAUCUGCCGUUACAGAGUCAGCCAGAUCAGAGGCUGUAGAGAUGACCAGGGAUUGUCUCUUGAUAAGUGCGUGAAUUGGGCCAUUCCUGUCCUGCUAAGCAUUCUAAAUGUAACAAGUACUUUUGGGUGUCAGGGAAAACGUAUGGAGUAAAACGUUUUUCAAAAUAUUUAGGAAUGUAGUGAAAAGAAAAGUAAAUGUUGUCAAAAAUAUAAAUAGUAAAGUACAGAUACCCCAAAAAAUGACUUAAGUAAUACUUUAAAGUAUUUUUACUUAGUUUGAAGAUGUCAGCUGUCUCCAGCUGCAGCUGCAGCAGAAUCCACUGGAGGAGCUGCCAGAAGGAGUGGGACAGCUCACUAAACCUGGAUGACAUCGUAAGCUCAGAAUCGGGCUUAAAACACUAUUGAAAAAAAGAUGAAGGAGAAAACAUGUCAAGGUAACAAAGUGAUUAUCUCAGACGAACUCUUUUGAUUAUCCUCGCUGACUUGUUUUUCUAUUGUUGGUGAAAGGAUCUUUCCAACAACCAGCUUACUGCCAUCCCUGACUGUCUGGGCAACUUGAAUCAUCUGGUGAAACUGAACCAACCUCUCUAACAACAAGCUGAAGAACCUUCCCUCAGGAAUCAAUGUCAUGGAAAGUAAGACAACAUUAGCAGCAAGUUUUUGCUUUCUUUGUUGUUUAGUCUUUCUAUAUAUUGUCUGCCGGAUGGAAAUGUGUGCGUCCACUUCAAUAUUCUUGUCAUAAACAUGGCUGAAGCAUAACAUCCUGUAUGAAUGCCUCCACAGAUUGGACUGCACACAUAAUCAGUUUGAGAGCAUACCUCCAAUCUUGCCUCAAAUGGUGUCUCUAGACCAGCGCUGUCUGAGACAAAACAAACUGCUCUUUCUUCCCGAACUGCCCUCCUCAAGGCUCAAGAUAAGGAUACUGAUGGUCAGGUUUCCUCAAUGAAGAGCUUUUGAAUCUUAAUGAGAUCACCUGUAUGAAUUAUUUGUAAAUUAAUAAAUGGCCUAUGCAAUCUCUGACAGCUUUAUAUCACCUGUCUGGUAGGAGCUGCAUGUUGGUACCCACUUGGCACAGACGUCAAUUCAACGUCUAUUUCGCGUUAAUUCAAUGUUAUUUAAUUGAAAUGAUGUUGGAACAACAUUGACUCAACCAGUGUGUGCCCUGUGGGUUAUAACCAGAUUGAGGUGGAGGCAGAGCACGUGAAACAUCUGUACACUCUUAGUGAAUUGGAGCUGAGGGACAACAAGGUGAAAAGUGUCCCUGAGGAAAUCACACUAGUUCAAGGCCUGGAGUGCCUAGACCUAAUCAACAAUGACAUCAGCAGAUCUGAUCUGAUCUCCCCUGGUUUCUCCUCAGUGCAUACUAUACUCUUCCACCUGUGCACAACACAUGUAUACACAGCACAAAUACCAACAAGUCAAAACACCCCAAAAUGUCCUGUGUAGUGUUUAACUGCCUGGAGCUAUCAUUGAGUGUUGUUGAUUUUCUACUGUAUGUCUUCCUUGUAUGUGUGAGCCAGUCUGCCAGCUGCCCUUGGUCAGACUGAAUAUCCUGACACUGGAGGGCAACCCUCUGAGACACACCCACGCCGACCUGACUUGACAAGCAGGCGGUGUGUGUUCCUGAUGACCUGUUUAAUGCUGUGGACAGUGAGCCCAUUUCCAGUGUCAGCAAGAACCAGCUGGCUGCAGUGCUUCCUAGGUACUCUGCUUAUAUCAGUGACCUCACACCACAGUCCAGGCCUCUGGAGGAAAAACACAAACAGUGUGUUUCCCGUGUGUCAAGAAUGGUCCACCACCCAAAGGACAUCAAGCCAGCAUUGGAAGCAUUGGAGUCAGCAUGGGCCAGAAUCCCUGUGGAAUGCUUUCAACACCUUGUAGAGGCCAUGCAUCGACAAAGUGAGGCUGUUCUGAGGGCAAAAGGGGUUCCAACUCAAUAUUAGGAAUGUGUUCCUAAUGUUUUGUACACUCAGAUUGUUUACAGUACCUUUCAUUUUUUUUUGUCUUCUUCAGUCACUUUUGAACAACUAUAUGGAUUCAAAUCCACCCACAUUAAAAGCGCACAAGGCAGCAGUGUGUUUGGUGCUUUGA
Long non-coding RNA from Oncorhynchus keta (chum salmon), 3151 nucleotides. RefSeq lists it as uncharacterized. The record is from RefSeq and is a predicted model, not a curated record. Lineage: Eukaryota; Metazoa; Chordata; Actinopteri; Salmoniformes; Salmonidae. The transcript has 3 exons.